AUUUGUGAGUGAAUAUUGACAAGUUGUUGUUUCUGCUUAAAGUCUUAUUUGCUAUUUUAAGUUAUUGUUUCUUAUAGAUUUUCUAAUCUGUGCUUAUUUUACUAGGAGUCAUGGCUUUGAAAGAAUUACCUUAUUGAUUUCAAACACCAUUUUAUGAGUAAUUUUCCAUAUGCCUUAAAAGAAAUAACCAAGCAAAAAAGGAAAGAGACAAAUAAAAGACAUCAAGAUUAUGGAAAAGCUGCAAAAAAGGACCCUUCAAUCAGACUCAUUAAUUGUUAAUAUUCAGCCAUUUGAGAGUUAGACAUCAUAACUUUCAGCCCAAUUUGUCAACACAUCUCUCCUAAAACAGGACCAUUCUUCCACAAACCUCAUUAUAAUUAUCAUAAGAAAAUUUGACAUUAAUACAAUGCUUUUAUCUAGGUAUAACCCAUAUUCAUAUUUCUAAAGUUGCCCCAAUAAAAUCUUUCAUAGUUAUUCAUACUCUUUCCAGUUGCUUAGAAACAGUCAUGCAUUAUAUUUAGUUAUGAUAUCUCUUUAUUGUCCUCUAAUCUAAAACAAUUCCUAGCUUUUUUUUCUUUCACUAUAUUAACAUUUUUAAAGAGAUUGGAUCAUUGUUUUGCACACUAUUACUAAAAUGAGUACUUUUGCAUGAUUAGAUUCAGGUAAAGAACAUUUUUGGCAGGACAACAGAUGUGAUGUUAUAUCUUUCACAGAGUAUCGUAUCAGGAAAUGGAUGAAAUAAAUAUAUCCUAAUUGGAAAAUUAAGUUUGAUACCUUGGUUAAGGUGGUAUCUGUCAGAUUUCUUCAUUGUGUAGGUACUUUUGUCUUUUGUGAUUAGUAAAUACUCUGUGGAGUAAUAUUGUGAGAGUGUAUAAAUAUUUGUUUUGCAGCGAUUCUUCAAUGGUUUUGGUAUCCAUUAAAACAUAUUGCUUGAAUCAAUCAUUACUUUUGUCUCAGCAAAAUGGUGUUUUACCAAUUUUAUUGUCUUUUC
RNAcentral lists this long non-coding RNA (991 nucleotides) under Bos grunniens (domestic yak). RNAcentral describes it as "lncRNA (ENSBGRG00000002547.1)". The record is from RNAcentral. Lineage: Eukaryota; Metazoa; Chordata; Mammalia; Artiodactyla; Bovidae.